GCCCCAAUAGCUUAACGUCAAAGCACCGGUCUUGUAAUCCGGCGAUCGGAGGCUAAAAUCCUCCUUGGUGC
RNAcentral lists this transfer RNA (71 nucleotides) under Ctenolucius hujeta. RNAcentral's name for it is "tRNA-Thr". It matches the Rfam family "tRNA". Rfam says of the family: Transfer RNA (tRNA) molecules are approximately 80 nucleotides in length. Lineage: Eukaryota; Metazoa; Chordata; Actinopteri; Characiformes; Ctenoluciidae. The record is from RNAcentral.